This 363-nucleotide ribosomal RNA is filed under the name Triticum aestivum (bread wheat). RNAcentral's name for it is "partial small subunit ribosomal RNA". The record is from RNAcentral. Lineage: Eukaryota; Viridiplantae; Streptophyta; Magnoliopsida; Poales; Poaceae.
AUGAAUUGGUGUGCAGAUGCAUUAACAGCUGAAGCCUUGGCUCUGAGAUAUGGCUUAUUACUUGCACAGAAGACGGGAUGCAACUGUAUCAUCGUUAACUCCGACAAUAUGGAAGUAAUUGACAUAAUGAAGAAUGGAGGAUAUUCAGCGGGAGCGGCAGCGACAGUGUUUGAUGAUUGUUAUUUUAUGGCGUGCGAUUUUACGCUUAUUAGAUUUGAACAUUGUAAUAGGGAAGCAAAUAAAGUAGCCGACGAACUUGCUAGGUUAGCUAAAUUUUCUAAGACUAGGGACUGGUUUGAGGAGCCUAUGAAUGAAAUUGUAAAUCUACUUACUACCGAUGUAACUGUUAUUUCUAAUAAAUAA